CCUACGGGUGGCAGCAGUGGGGAAUAUUGCACAAUGGGGGAAACCCUGAUGCAGCGACGCCGCGUGAGUGAAGAAGUAUUUCGGUAUGUAAAGCUCUAUCAGCAGGGAAGAAAAAGACGGGACCUUGUCAAAAAGCCCCCGCUAACUACGUGCCAGCAGCCGCGGUCAUACGUAGGGGGCAAGCGUUAUCCGGAUUUACUGGGUGUAAAGGGAGCGUAGACGGUAGGGCAAGUCUGGAGUGAAAUGCCUGGGCUUAACCCCGGAACUGCUUUGGAAACUGUGCAGCUAGAGUGCAGGAGAGGUAAGUGGAAUUCCUAGUGUAGCGGUGAAAUGCGUAGAUAUUAGGAGGAACACCAGUGGCGAAGGCGGCUUACUGGACUGUAACUGACGUUGAGGCUCGAAAGCGUGGGGAGCAAACAGGAUUAGAUACCCGUGUAGUC
This 440-nucleotide ribosomal RNA is filed under the name uncultured bacterium. RNAcentral describes it as "partial 16S ribosomal RNA". It matches the Rfam family "Bacterial small subunit ribosomal RNA", at positions 338 to 795 of the family's 1533-position model. The record is from RNAcentral.